AGCAGCCGCGGUAAUUCCAGCUCCAAUAGCGUAUAUUAAAGUUGUUGCAGUUAAAAAGCUCGUAGUUGAAUUUCGGGAUCAAUAUGUUUGGUCGUGCCUCGGUACGUACUAGCUUAUUGGUUUCUCCUUUCUGAAGAACCAUGAUGUCAUUCAUUUGGUGUCGUGGGGAAUCAGGACUGUUACUUUGAAAAAUUAGAGUGUUUAAAGCAGGCUCACGCUUGAAUACAUUAGCAUGGAAUAAUGAAAUAGGACGUUUGAUUCUAUUUUGUUGGUUUCUAGGAUCGACGUAAUGAUUAAUAGGGAUAGUUGGGGGCAUUAGUAUUCAAUUGUCAGAGGUGAAAUUCUUGGGUUUAUUGAAGACUAACUACUGCGAAAGCAUUUGCCAAGGAUGUUUUCAUUAAUCAAGAACGAAAGUUAGGGGAUCGAAGACGAUCAGAUACCGUCGUAGUC
This 450-nucleotide ribosomal RNA is filed under the name uncultured Glomeromycotina. Its description in RNAcentral is "SSU rRNA". It matches the Rfam family "Eukaryotic small subunit ribosomal RNA", at positions 569 to 1025 of the family's 1831-position model. The record is from RNAcentral. Lineage: Eukaryota; Fungi; Glomeromycota.